Molecule: ribosomal RNA, 539 nt
Filed under: uncultured Geobacteraceae bacterium
Lineage: Bacteria; Pseudomonadati; Thermodesulfobacteriota; Desulfuromonadia; Geobacterales; Geobacteraceae
Description: bacterial SSU rRNA
Rfam family: Bacterial small subunit ribosomal RNA
Source: RNAcentral
GAGUUUGAUCCUGGCUCAGAACGAACGCUGGCGGCGUGCUUAACACAUGCAAGUCGAACGUGAUCCGGAGCUUGCUCCGGUGAAAGUGGCGCACGGGUGAGUAACGCGUGGAUAAUYUGCCCUGGUAUCUGGGAUAACAUCUCGAAAGGGGUGCUAAUACCGGAUAAGCCCACGGGAUCCUCGGAUUCUGCGGGAAAAGGUGGCCUCUAUUUAUAAGCUACCGUAUCAGGAUGAGUCCGCGUACCAUUAGCUAGUUGGUGGGGUAAUGGCCCACCAAGGCUACGAUGGUUAGCUGGUCUGAGAGGAUGAUCAGCCACACUGGAACUGAGACACGGUCCAGACUCCUACGGGAGGCAGCAGUGGGGAAUUUUGCGCAAUGGGGGAAACCCUGACGCAGCAACGCCGCGUGAGUGAUGAAGGCUUUCGGGUCGUAAAGCUCUGUCAGAGGGGAAGAAAUGAGUCUGGCUAAUAUCCAGAUUUCUUGACGGUACCCUCAAAGGAAGCACCGGCUAACUCCGUGCCAGCAGCCGCGGUAAUAC